RNAcentral lists this ribosomal RNA (497 nucleotides) under uncultured bacterium. RNAcentral's name for it is "partial 16S ribosomal RNA". It matches the Rfam family "Bacterial small subunit ribosomal RNA", at positions 28 to 507 of the family's 1533-position model. The record is from RNAcentral.
GAUGAACGCUGGCGGCGUGCCUAAUACAUGCAAGCCGAGCGAACAGACGAGGAGCUUGCUCCUCUGACGUUAGCGGCGGACGGGUGAGUAACACGUGGAUAACCUACCUAUAAGACUGGGAUAACUUCGGGAAACCGGAGCUAAUACCGGAUAAUAUAUUGAACCGCAUGGUUCAAUAGUGAAAGACGGUUUUGCUGUCACUUAUAGAUGGAUCCGCGCCGCAUUAGCUAGUUGGUAAGGUAACGGCUUACCAAGGCAACGAUGCGUAGCCGACCUGAGAGGGUGAUCGGCCACACUGGAACUGAGACACGGUCCAGACUCCUACGGGAGGCAGCAGUAGGGAAUCUUCCGCAAUGGGCGAAAGCUUGACGGAGCAACGCCGCGUGAGUGAUGAAGGUCUUCGGAUCGUAAAACUCUGUUAUUAGGGAAGAACAAAUGUGUAAAUAACUAUGCACGUCUUGACGGUACCUAAUCAGAAAGCCACGGCUAACUACGUG